This 64-nucleotide transfer RNA is filed under the name Miltogramma oestracea. RNAcentral describes it as "tRNA-Phe". Lineage: Eukaryota; Metazoa; Arthropoda; Insecta; Diptera; Sarcophagidae. The record is from RNAcentral.
AUUCAAAUAGCUCAUAUAUAGAGUUUAACACUGAAGAUGUUAAGGUGAUAUUAAUCUUUGAAUA